GACGAACGCUGGCGGCGUGCUUAACACAUGCAAGUCGAGCGGUAAGGCCCUUUCGGGGGUACACGAGCGGCGAACGGGUGAGUAACACGUGGGUGACCUGCCCUCAGCUCUGGGAUAAGCCUGGGAAACCGGGUCUAAUACCGGAUAUGACUCCAUGACGCAUGUUGUGGGGUGGAAAGCCUUGUGCGGCUGAGGAUGGGCCCGCGGCCUAUCAGCUUGUUGGUGGGGUNAUGGCCUACCAAGGCGACGACGGUAGCCGGCCUGAGAGGGCGACCGGCCACACUGGGACUGAGACACGGCCCAGACUCCUACGGGA
Molecule: ribosomal RNA, 316 nt
Filed under: uncultured bacterium
Lineage: Bacteria
Description: bacterial SSU rRNA
Rfam family: Bacterial small subunit ribosomal RNA
Source: RNAcentral